UACAGAGGUCUCAAGCGUUGUUCGGAUUCACUGGGCGUAAAGGGGUGCGUAGGCGGUCGGGUAAGUCUGACGUGAAAUCUUCAAGCUCAACUUGGAAACUGCGUCCGAUACUAUUCGGCUAGAGGAAUGGAGGGGAGACUGGAAUACUUGGUGUAGCAGUGAAAUGCGUAGAUAUCAAGUGGAACACCAGUGGCGAAGGCGAGUCUCUGGACAUUUCCUGACGCUGAGGCACGAAAGCCAGGGGAGCAAACGGG
This 254-nucleotide ribosomal RNA is filed under the name uncultured bacterium. Its description in RNAcentral is "partial 16S ribosomal RNA". It matches the Rfam family "Bacterial small subunit ribosomal RNA", at positions 524 to 776 of the family's 1533-position model. The record is from RNAcentral.